GUCGGUAUCGAUUAGGGGUUAAAUCACCUCGUUGUGGUUGGGUGGCUCAGACAUCAAGCAACUACCGAGGAGCCAUAGGUUCGAUUCCUGUUACCGACA
Non-coding RNA from Mycena floridula, 99 nucleotides. The record is from the annotation of a GenBank genome assembly. Lineage: Eukaryota; Fungi; Basidiomycota; Agaricomycetes; Agaricales; Mycenaceae.